UACAGAGGUCCCAAGCGUUGUUCGGAUUCAUUGGGCGUAAAGGGUGCGUAGGCGGUGGGGUAAGUUGGAUGUGAAAUCUUGGGGCUUAACCUCAAAAUUGCAUUCAAUACUGCUCCGCUCGAGUUCUGUAGAGGAGAUUGGAAUUUACGGUGUAGCAGUGAAAUGCGUAGAUAUCGUAAGGAACGCCAGUGGCGAAAGCGACUUCAUGGACCAGUACCGACGUUCAGGCACGAAAGCGUGGGGAGUAAACAGG
Molecule: ribosomal RNA, 253 nt
Filed under: uncultured bacterium
Lineage: Bacteria
Description: partial 16S ribosomal RNA
Rfam family: Bacterial small subunit ribosomal RNA
Source: RNAcentral